This 108-nucleotide small RNA is filed under the name Citrobacter freundii. RNAcentral describes it as "partial RtT sRNA". It matches the Rfam family "RtT RNA", at positions 1 to 104 of the family's 130-position model. From Rfam's summary of the family: This family represents a bacterial cis-regulatory element known as RtT RNA. Lineage: Bacteria; Pseudomonadati; Pseudomonadota; Gammaproteobacteria; Enterobacterales; Enterobacteriaceae. The record is from RNAcentral.
UUUGCUUUAUAGCCCAGGAGGAUGAGAACCUCCGGGGGUAAGAGGUUCGACUCGAGCGUAGCGAGAGAACGUUGCGUCAGCAACGGCCCGCGGGGCGAGCCACGUAGU